UGGUACAAAAAAAAUAGAGAGAACAUGCAAAAUCAGGGCAGCCCACCUGCUGGGAGGAGGAAAAGAUAUUCUCCACAUAUGAGCAGGAAAAUAUAUUGUCUAGGUUUCCGUGCCCACCUGUGUCCUUCCUACGUACAAUCACUACUAAAAAUAACGAAAGAUCGAUCCUGUCUGUCGAAAAAAAAUCUUACCUUAUCAACUUAAAUAUGCCUUCCCUGCGACAACUUAUUUCCAUUAUGCCAGAACUUUGAGGCAAAAACUUGCUGCCCAUUGCUAUGAAUCAUCAAGACCAAGU
RNAcentral lists this long non-coding RNA (295 nucleotides) under Solanum tuberosum (potato). RNAcentral's name for it is "long non-coding RNA (STUB_LNC002777)". The record is from RNAcentral. Lineage: Eukaryota; Viridiplantae; Streptophyta; Magnoliopsida; Solanales; Solanaceae.